UGACUGGUGGCAUUCGGGAAGAGUAAAGCACCCUGUGCCGAGGGACAGUGGGAAGAAAGCGCUCUACGCUUGUUUUCAAAACCACUGGUUCUCUUACUGGCUGAGGCCAUGCCUGUGACACGCCCCUCUCACUACUCUACACGUGACCGCUUCUAAUACCACGGGCAUGUGAUGAUGGAGCACAGUACUGUAGUAGGAGAGCUGCAGGAAUCAUCCGGUGCUGAUGUAGGAAAUACUGGAAUUAGGACUUUUUAACAUGCAGUUUUUACUGUAACCUUAAUAACUUAUUUAUCAAAGUAGCUACAGAAAGCUCAAGUGAAUGAUGGCAAAACACUGAAUUUGUUUGGGUGUUAACAUUAAAUGGUGCUACAAAAAACGGUGUUUUUAAAUAGCUGAAAAAAAUGCCUUUUAUCAUGCAGCCGGUGUAGUCUAGGGCCCCUGAGGAACUGGGGCGCCUUUGAUUCACAUUUCUAUCUUAAUUAUUACUCAGCUUAGUUUUUCAAAUGUAGACAUCUUAAAGGCCUCUGGAUUGAUUGUCAUUGUCCAUCGAUGUCCUUGUAGGACUAUAAACAAUGUGUGCACAUACACACCUACACAUGUGUACUGAAAUGUUUUAAGUGGUGUCUUAGAAGCACUUUGCUUACCUAAGCUUCGGCGACUUGAGCAAUGCUAAGGUACUGAAACUUAAAAAAAAAGCAAAAAAAAAAAAAAA
Molecule: long non-coding RNA, 712 nt
Filed under: Rattus norvegicus (Norway rat)
Lineage: Eukaryota; Metazoa; Chordata; Mammalia; Rodentia; Muridae
Description: long non-coding RNA NONRATT016888
Source: RNAcentral